Molecule: ribosomal RNA, 254 nt
Filed under: uncultured bacterium
Lineage: Bacteria
Description: partial 16S ribosomal RNA
Rfam family: Bacterial small subunit ribosomal RNA
Source: RNAcentral
CACGUAGGGCGCAAGCGUUGUCCGGAAUUAUUGGGCGUAAAGAGCUCGUAGGCGGUUCGGCAAGUCGGAUGUGAAAUCUCCACGCUUAACGUGGAGGGGCCAUUCGAAACUGCUGUGACUCGAGUCCGGUAGGGGAGUGUGGAAUUCCUAGUGUAGAAGUGAAAUUCGUAGAUAUUAGGAGGAACACCGGUGGCGAAGGCGGCUAUCUGGCUGAAUACUGACGCUGUUGCACGAAAGCGUGGGGAGCAAACAGG